Molecule: long non-coding RNA, 443 nt
Organism: Bradysia coprophila
Lineage: Eukaryota; Metazoa; Arthropoda; Insecta; Diptera; Sciaridae
Source: RefSeq, a predicted model, not a curated record
UGCAGCCUCUGACGUUUUUGACAUUUGUUCAUUAUUUGGAAAUAUGUGUAAACAAAGUUCAAAAAUUAGUAAAUAAACGAAGCGCAGAAUGAAUAUUGAAUGGCGAUCAGCUGAUCCGAACUGAGUACUACAGUAAACAUGUAAAAUGUAGCGAUAGUAAGCUCCUGUCCAAUUUUCCGCAAUUUGCCCAACUCAUUCAGUAGAUGGGAAAUCGUUUGGGACCAUAGUUUUUGGCAUGAUUGACAUCAAUGUUUACAGACAGGAGCAGAAACCAAACAAUUGGCCCUCUAAAUAUUUGACUCAUCCAGCAAAUCAAGGUCAAUAUUACAUUGUGUUCCAUAGUGCGUACAAUAGAGAACUGGCUGCUAUCACAAACACAGACAAAAUUUAGUGAAUAUCGUGUAUUCCAAAUUCAAGAAAACAAUAAAGCUUAUAUUGAAGGG